AGGAGGCAGCACCCUUGGGGCAGCACAACAUGACCUGGGCUCUGCUCCUGCUUAUGUUCCUCACUGAGGGCACAGGGACCUGGGCCCAGUCUGCUCUGACUCAGCCUCCCACAGCCUCUGGGUCUCUUGGAGAGGAGGUCACCAUCUCCUGUAUUGGAACCAGCAGUGAUAUAGGGAGCUAUAAUGCUGUCUCCUGGUACCAACAGCUGCAAGGAACAUCCCCCAAACUUCUGAUAUAUGAUGUCAGCAGUCGGCCUUCAGGGAUCCCUGAUCGCUUCUCUGGCUCCAAGUCUGGCAACACGGCAUCCCUGAGCAUCGCUAGACUCCAGGCUGAGGACGAGGCUGAUUAUUACUGCUGUUCAUAUAGGAGUGGUGGCACUAAGCACAGUGACUCAAGUUCAUGGAGAAGUGAGAUCAAAACCUGCACUGAGCUUCUAAGUUCCUCCAUGCUCUGA
Non-coding RNA from Heterocephalus glaber (naked mole-rat), 455 nucleotides. The record is from the annotation of a RefSeq genome assembly. Lineage: Eukaryota; Metazoa; Chordata; Mammalia; Rodentia; Bathyergidae.